This 253-nucleotide ribosomal RNA is filed under the name Alloprevotella rava. Its description in RNAcentral is "partial 16S ribosomal RNA". It matches the Rfam family "Bacterial small subunit ribosomal RNA", at positions 524 to 776 of the family's 1533-position model. Lineage: Bacteria; Pseudomonadati; Bacteroidota; Bacteroidia; Bacteroidales; Prevotellaceae. The record is from RNAcentral.
UACGGAAGGUCCAGGCGUUAUCCGGAUUUAUUGGGUUUAAAGGGAGCGCAGGCGGUGGCGUAAGUCAGUUGUGAAAUCGUGCGGCUUAACCGUGCAAUUGCAGUUGAUACUGCGUCGCUUGAGUGCACACAGGGAUGUUGGAAUUCAUGGUGUAGCGGUGAAAUGCUUAGAUAUCAUGAAGAACUCCGAUCGCGAAGGCAUAUGUCCGGAGUGCAACUGACGCUGAGGCUCGAAAGUGUGGGUAUCAAACAGG